Leopardus geoffroyi (Geoffroy's cat) is the source of this 2322-nucleotide long non-coding RNA. RefSeq lists it as uncharacterized. The record is from RefSeq and is a predicted model, not a curated record. Lineage: Eukaryota; Metazoa; Chordata; Mammalia; Carnivora; Felidae. The transcript has 3 exons.
AAAUAAACAUAAAAGAAAAUCCUCUAGAGGCACCAAUAACGAAAAGAUGCUCAACAUCAUUAGUCAUCAACGGAUCAAAACCACAUGGAGACACCACACCCACUAGAAUGGCUUGUAUAAAAAAAAAAUCAGAUGAUAACGGGAGAAGGCAGAAAUGUUGAGAAAAGGGAACCCUCCAAUGCUGCUGAUGGGAAUGGAAAAUGGUGCAGCCACUUUGAAAACCAGUCUAGGGGUUCCUCGAAGAAUUAAACACAGAGUUACCAUGUGGCCCAGCAAUUCCAUGCCUUGGUACGCACCCAAGAGAGACAAAAGCAUAUGUCCACACAGAGGCUGGUACAUGAAUGUUCGUAGCAGCAUUAUUCACAACAGCCAAAAGGUGGAAAUACCCCCACAUGUCCAGUCGGCGUGCCGUAUCCAUGCCAUGGAAUCGUCCUCAGCCGUGAAAGAGUAGAAUCCUGACACAUGGUACAAAAUAGAUGAACCCUGAGUACAUUAUUGCCAGAUGAAAGAAACCAGUCACAAAAGGCCGCAUAUCGUACGAUUCCUUUGAAAUGAAAUGUCGACCACAUCUGGGAAAUCUACAGAGACAGGAAAUAGAUUAGUGGUUGCUUAGGGCUGGGGGGAGGAUGGUGGGAUAGAGAGGUAACAGCAAAAGGAAAGGGGCUUCUUUUUGAGGUGAUUAAAAUGUUUUAAAAUUGUGAUGGUUGCACCCCUAGGAACACGCUAAACACCAUUGGCCUGGACCUUUUGAAACGGUGAGUUGUCUGGUAUUUGAAUGCUACCUCGAUAGGACUGUUAGAAACGAAUCCUCUAGGGGGUGUGAUUGAGCAUCCCUGAUGCUGAGUUUUCAGAGCCCUCCCAGGGACUCCAGGGAGCAGUCAGGCUGGGAACCACAGGCGGACCGUUACUCUGUGUUGGGGCUAUAUGAAUACGUGUUUUAAACCAUCCUGUUGUUUCACAGCCAGGGUGAUGUCCUCCGGGAUCCAAAAUUCCGCGACUCUGGGAAUUCUAUUCGUCUAAUUCACAGCCUGUAGUUUAAUCAGCGGUCUGUGUUCAGAUGGGCCACCGCAUUGCCCUCCGCCAGCAGGCUGGGAGUUGUCUGGAACGGGAAGCCUGACUUGCCCAUUGGACCAGACAGUGCCAGCCACAAUGGUCUCAGGUUGUUGAGUUCAACAGACAGCUUGCAGCAGAGGCCAGCCGUCAGCUGUCGGCACUCCUGGAUGGCGUGACACCAGCAGAGCAUUAUCCCCGAUGAAUCACAGCCGAGAUUCCUUGUGGAUGGUCUUCGUCAUCUUCCAAGAUCCCUGUCGUGGGCAUAUCAUACACCGAAGACACCGAUUUGACCCGAGAUCUUACACUAGAAGGUCAAAAGCUCCUUCACAUGGAAGAACACCUCACUCCUACCCUACAAGUGAUUAUAACCAGUCUCCACAACUAGUUCCAAUGCAAGAAUUUGGCAUCUGGAAACUAUUUUAUUUAAUAGUCCUUCUUCUAGUAAUCUUACUAAGUAUAUAUAUAAACGGCAAGGCUUAACAUCUCUCAGGGAGGUUACGAUCAGGAUACUUACGUACUAUUGGUUCUCCAAUGUUAACUUUAAAUGUAUAAAGAAAGUAUUAUUUUCCAAUUUCUAACAUUUGAAAUACUAUGGUUCUGGGAAAUGUUAAAAAUAGAUUUAAUGAAAAGUCAACUAAUUUAAUAAUCUGGAGAUAGUACAAUUAAGCAAAGAAUAGUUUUCAAGACUUCUACGGAGACAGUAAUACCAUACUAGUUAAGAGCCCAAACCUUGUUACCAAAAUAAUUGGAUUUUAAAUCUAAUAUGACUAAGUGUACUUCCAAACCUGAAAAAUGGGAGGCGAGUGUGACUAUAACGGCAGUAAGAAGGGAUCCUUGUUUUGUAUCUUGACUGAAUUUGGGUCAAAAUCCUGGUUAUAAUAUUUUACUAUAGUGUUUCAGUAUGUUAUCACUGGGGAAAACUGAAUAAAGGAUAUCCAAGAACUCUGUAUUAUUCCUUAACAACUACAUGUGAAUUUGUAAUUAUCUCCAAAUAGAAAGUUUAAUUGGUCUUUUGCAAAUGUUAACUUAAAUUGUAAUUUCAAAACUAUCCUAUGCAAUUACAUUUCUUUUCUAACUUCUAUGAUGAGUGAAAUAGACAAAGUCAAACAGACUACAAAUUACUUUAUUUUAAAUUUAGCAAUGACCUAACCAGAAGGUGGCACUGUUCCCACAUCCCUAGACCACGGUAAGGGACUGUCACUUUAAACAUCAUGAAAACGGAAUACUAAGGUUUUACCAAUCAAAACUGUAAACGCUAACCCCAAUUCA